UUACCCGCUGAACUUAAGCAUAUCAAUAAGCGGAGGAAAAGAAACCAACAGGGAUUGCCCCAGUAACGGCGAGUGAAGCGGCAACAGCUCAAAUUUGAAAUCUGGCCCCUCCGGGUCCGAGUUGUAAUUUGUAGAGGAUGCUUUUGGUGAGGUGCCGCCCGAGUUCCCUGGAACGGGACGCCACAGAGGGUGAGAGCCCCGUCUGGCUGGCCACCGAGCCUCUGUAAAGCUCCUUCGACGAGUCGAGUAGUUUGGGAAUGCUGCUCAAAAUGGGAGGUAUAUGUCUUCUAAAGCUAAAUAUUGGCCAGAGACCGAUAGCGCACAAGUAGAGUGAUCGAAAGAUGAAAAGCACCUUGAAAAGAGGGUUAAACAGUACGUGAAAUUGUUGAAAGGGAAGCGCUUGUGACCAGACUUGGGCGCGGCGGAUCAUCCGGGGUUCUCUCCGGUGCACUUCGCCGCGUUCAGGCCAGCAUCAGUUCGUCGCGGGGGAAAAAGGCUUCGGGAACGUGGCUCCUCCGGGAGUGUUAUAGCCCGUUGCAUAAUACCCUGCGGUGGACUGAGGACCGC
RNAcentral lists this ribosomal RNA (567 nucleotides) under Trichoderma viride. RNAcentral's name for it is "LSU rRNA". It matches the Rfam family "Eukaryotic large subunit ribosomal RNA", at positions 21 to 596 of the family's 3401-position model. The record is from RNAcentral. Lineage: Eukaryota; Fungi; Ascomycota; Sordariomycetes; Hypocreales; Hypocreaceae.